RNAcentral lists this ribosomal RNA (798 nucleotides) under Nocardioides sp. RNAcentral's name for it is "bacterial SSU rRNA". It matches the Rfam family "Bacterial small subunit ribosomal RNA", at positions 68 to 883 of the family's 1533-position model. Lineage: Bacteria; Bacillati; Actinomycetota; Actinomycetes; Propionibacteriales; Nocardioidaceae. The record is from RNAcentral.
GGAAGGCCCUUCGGGGUACUCGAGCGGCGAACGGGUGAGUAACACGUGAGUAAUCUGCCCUUGGCUUCGGGAUAGCCACCGGAAACGGUGAUUAAUACCGGAUAUGACCAGCUGUCGCAUGGUGGUUGGUGGAAAGUUUUUCGGCCAGGGAUGUGCUCGCGGCCUAUCAGCUUGAUGGUGAGGUAAUGGCUCACCAUGGCUUCGACGGGUAGCCGGCCUGAGAGGGUGACCGGUCACACUGGGACUGAGACACGGCCCAGACUCCUACGGGAGGCAGCAGUGGGGAAUAUUGGACAAUGGGCGGAAGCCUGAUCCAGCAACGCCGCGUGAGGGAUGACGGCCUUCGGGUUGUAAACCUCUUUCAGUACCGACGAAGCGCAAGUGACGGUAGGUACAGAAGAAGCACCGGCCAACUACGUGCCAGCAGCCGCGGUAAUACGUAGGGUGCGAGCGUUGUCCGGAAUUAUUGGGCGUAAAGGGCUCGUAGGCGGUCUGUCGCGUCGGGAGUGAAAACGCCGUGCUUAACACGGCGCUUGCUUUCGAUACGGGCAGACUAGAGGCAUGCAGGGGAGAACGGAAUUCCUGGUGUAGCGGUGAAAUGCGCAGAUAUCAGGAGGAACACCGGUGGCGAAGGCGGUUCUCUGGGCAUGUCCUGACGCUGAGGAGCGAAAGUGUGGGGAGCGAACAGGAUUAGAUACCCUGGUAGUCCACACCGUAAACGUUGGGCGCUAGGUGUGGGAUCCAUUCCACGGGUUCCGUGCCGCAGCUAACGCAUUAAGCGCCCCGCCUGGGGAGUAC